AUAUUCAGGGUAGCAAUAUUCUGGAUGUUCAGCGGCGCAAGGGUGCGUAACACGUGGGUAAUCUGCCGUGAAGCCUGGAAUAACUCGCUGAAAGGCGAGCUAAUACCGGAUGUGACGUUUGGAAGGCAUCUUUUGAACUUCAAAGCUGGGGACCGUAAGGCCUGGCACUUCACGAUGAGCCCGCGGCCUAUCAGCUAGUUGGUGAGGUAAUGGCUCACCAAGGCUAAGACGGGUAGCUGGUCUGAGAGGACGACCAGCCACACUGGAACUGAGACACGGUCCAGACACCUACGGGUGGCAGCAGUCGAGAAUUUUUCACAAUGGGCGAAAGCCUGAUGGAGCGACGCCGCGUGGGGGAUGAAUGGCUUCGGCCCGUAAACCCCUGUCAUUUGCGAACAAGUUGUUUCACCUAACACGUGAAGCAUUGAUAGUAGCGAAAGAGGAAGGGACGGCUAACUCUGUGCCAGCAGCCGCGGUAAUACAGAGGUCCCAAGCGUUGUUCGGAUUCACUGGGCGUAAAGGGUGCGUAGGCGGUCGGGUAAGUCUGACGUGAAAUCUCCAAGCUCAACUUGGAAAUGGCGUCGGAUACUAUUCGGCUCGAGGAAUGGAGGGGAGACUGGAAUUCUCGGUGUAGCAGUGAAAUGCGUAGAUAUCGAGAGGAACACCAGUGGCGAAGGCGAGUCUCUGGACAUUUCCUGACGCUGAGGCACGAAAGCCAGGGGAGCAAACGGGAUUAGAUACCCCGGUAGUCCUGGCCCUAAACGGUGCACGUUCGCUGUAAGAGGAAUCGACCCCUUUUGUGGCGAAGCUAACGCGUUAAACGUG
This 825-nucleotide ribosomal RNA is filed under the name uncultured Verrucomicrobiota bacterium. RNAcentral's name for it is "bacterial SSU rRNA". It matches the Rfam family "Bacterial small subunit ribosomal RNA", at positions 67 to 868 of the family's 1533-position model. The record is from RNAcentral. Lineage: Bacteria; Pseudomonadati; Verrucomicrobiota.